RNAcentral lists this transfer RNA (73 nucleotides) under Oscillatoria sp. FACHB-1406. It matches the Rfam family "tRNA". Rfam says of the family: Transfer RNA (tRNA) molecules are approximately 80 nucleotides in length. The record is from Rfam by way of RNAcentral. Lineage: Bacteria; Bacillati; Cyanobacteriota; Cyanophyceae; Oscillatoriales; Oscillatoriaceae.
GGCAGUGUAGCUUAAGGGAUAAAGCGCCCGUCUUCCAAACGGGAAAUAGGCUGUUUGAGUCAGCCCGCUGCCA